Molecule: ribosomal RNA, 492 nt
Filed under: uncultured bacterium
Lineage: Bacteria
Description: partial 16S ribosomal RNA
Rfam family: Bacterial small subunit ribosomal RNA
Source: RNAcentral
AGUGAACGCUGGCGGUAGGCCUAACACAUGCAAGUCGAACGGCAGCACAGUAAGAGCUUGCUCUUACGGGUGGCGAGUGGCGGACGGGUGAGGAAUACAUCGGAAUCUACUUUUUCGUGGGGGAUAACGUAGGGAAACUUACGCUAAUACCGCAUACGACCUACGGGUGAAAGCAGGGGAUCUUCGGACCUUGCGGGAUUGAAUGAGCCGAUGUCGGAUUAGCUAGUUGGCGGGGUAAAGGCCCACCAAGGCGACGAUCCGUAGCUGGUCUGAGAGGAUGAUCAGCCACACUGGAACUGAGACACGGUCCAUACGCCUACGGGACGCAGCAGUGGGGAAUAUUAGACAAUGGGCGCAAGCCUGGUCCAGCCAUCCCGCGUGUGUGAAGAAGGCCUUCGGGUUGUAAAGCCCUUUUGUUGGGAAAGAAAAGCAGCAGGUUAAUACCCCGCUGUUCUGACGGUACCCAAAGAAUAAGCACCGGCUAACUUCGUG